This 332-nucleotide ribosomal RNA is filed under the name uncultured bacterium. Its description in RNAcentral is "bacterial SSU rRNA". It matches the Rfam family "Bacterial small subunit ribosomal RNA", at positions 568 to 898 of the family's 1533-position model. The record is from RNAcentral.
CGCGUAGGCGGGUUUUUAAGUUGUGGGUGAAAUCCCGAGGCUCAACCUCGGAACUGCCUGCAAAACUGGAAGCCUUGAGGUAUGGAGAGGGAAGUGGAAUUCCAGGUGUAGCGGUGAAAUGCGUAGAUAUCUGGAGGAACACCCGUGGCGAAGGCGGCUUCCUGGCCAUAUCCUGACGCUGAGGUGCGAAAGCCAGGGGAGCGAACGGGAUUAGAUACCCCGGUAGUCCUGGCCGUAAACGAUGGAUACUAGGUGUUAGAGGUAUCGACCCCUCUAGUGCCGCAGCUAACGCAUUAAGUAUCCCGCCUGGGGAGUACGACCGCAAGGUUGAA